RNAcentral lists this ribosomal RNA (442 nucleotides) under uncultured bacterium. Its description in RNAcentral is "bacterial SSU rRNA". It matches the Rfam family "Bacterial small subunit ribosomal RNA", at positions 340 to 774 of the family's 1533-position model. The record is from RNAcentral.
UACGGAAGGCAGCAGUGGGGAAUAUUGCACAAUGGGCGCAAGCCUGAUGCAGCCAUGCCGCGUGUAUGAAGAAGGCCUUCGGGUUGUAAAGUACUUUCAGUCGUGAGGAAGGUGUUAAGGUUAAUAACCUUAGCAAUUGACGUUAGCGACAGAAGAAGCACCGGCUAACUCCGUGCCAGCAGCCGCGGUAAUACGGAGGGUGCGAGCGUUAAUCGGAAUUACUGGGCGUAAAGGGCACGCAGGCGGUUAAUUAAGUUGGAUGUGAAAUCCCCGGGCUUAACCUGGGAAUGGCAUUCAAGACUGGUUAGCUAGAGUCUUGUAGAGGGGGUUAGAAUUCCAUGUGUAGCGGUGAAAUGCGUAGAGAUGUGGAGGAAUACCGGUGGCGAAGGCGGCCCCUGGGACAAAGACUGACGCUCAUGUGCGAAAGCGUGGGGAGCGAAAC